CUGAGUCAUUUUUCCUUUCUAAAAUAAGCUGUCACCCCAUCAGUCUCUCUUAUGGACUUGUCAAUUCGUUACGCCUUCAUGUGAUCAUAUUAGUAAAUAGGGACAACUUCAUUCAUUAAUAAUUAUUCAGGAACAAUUCAGAACAUGAAAAAGUAACAUGAGACAGAACAAGUUUAUUUUCUUUUCAUAAAGUUGUUAUUCCCCUAUCCAUUCAUUUAUCUUUGUUGCAUUGAUAUGUGGUUUUCCUUCCAAUUUCGUAUUCAGCACGUGCCUCAAAUACUCUCCAUACGUGGUGUCCUUGUACAUCUUGGG
RNAcentral lists this long non-coding RNA (312 nucleotides) under Medicago truncatula (barrel medic). RNAcentral's name for it is "long non-coding RNA (MTRU_LNC005171)". Lineage: Eukaryota; Viridiplantae; Streptophyta; Magnoliopsida; Fabales; Fabaceae. The record is from RNAcentral.